AAUCAACGCUGGCGGCGUGCCUAACACAUGCAAGUCGAACGCGAGAGGGGCUUCGGCCCCGAUUGAGUGGCGAACGGGUGAGUAACGCGUGGGUGACCUACCUUCGAGUGGGGGAUAACGUCCCGAAAGGGACGCUAAUACCGCAUAACAUCCUGCUUUUGAAUGGGUGGAGAUCAAAGCCGGGGAUCGCAAGACCUGGCGCUUGAUGAGGGGCCCGCGUCUGAUUAGCUAGUUGGGAGGUAACGGCCCACCAAGGCAACGAUCAGUAUCCGGCCUGAGAGGGCGGACGGACACACUGGGACUGAGACACGGCCCAGACUCCUACGGGAGGCAGCAGUGGGGAAUUGUUCGCAAUGGGCGCAAGCCUGACGACGCAACGCCGCGUGGAGGAUGAAGGUCUUGGAUUGUAAACUCCUGUUGCCCGGGACGAAUGGCUCCGACCUAACACGUCGGAGUGUGACGGUACCGGGUGAGGAAGCCCGGCUAAUCUGUGCCAGCAGCCGCAGUAA
This 509-nucleotide ribosomal RNA is filed under the name uncultured bacterium. RNAcentral's name for it is "bacterial SSU rRNA". It matches the Rfam family "Bacterial small subunit ribosomal RNA", at positions 28 to 523 of the family's 1533-position model. The record is from RNAcentral.